RNAcentral lists this ribosomal RNA (467 nucleotides) under uncultured bacterium. RNAcentral's name for it is "partial 16S ribosomal RNA". It matches the Rfam family "Bacterial small subunit ribosomal RNA", at positions 28 to 523 of the family's 1533-position model. The record is from RNAcentral.
GAUGAAUGCUGGCGGCGUGCCUAACACAUGCAAGUCGAGCGGCAGCGCGAGUAGUUUACUACUUGGCGGCGAGCGGCGGACGGCUGAGUAACGCGUGGGAACGUGCCCCAAAGUGGGGGAUAACGCACCGAAAGGUGUGCUAAUACCGCAUAUGGUCUUCGGAUUAAAGAAUUUAUUCGCUUUGGGAGCGGCCCGCGUCGGAUUAGGUAGUUGGUAGGGUAAUGGCCUACCAAGCCGACGAUCCGUAGCUGGUCUGAGAGGAUGAUCAGCCAGACUGGAACUGAGACACGGUCCAGACUCCUACGGGAGGCAGCAGUGAGGAAUCUUCCACAAUGGGCGAAAGCCUGAUGGAGCAACGCCGCGUGCAGGAUGAAGGCCUUCGGGUUGUAAACUGCUUUUAUAAGUGAAGAAUAUGACGGUAACUUAUGAAUAAGCACCGGCUAACUACGUGCCAGCAGCCGCGGUAA